AUUGAACGCUGGCGGCAGGCCUAACACAUGCAAGUCGAACGGUAACAGGAAGCAGCUUGCUGCUUUGCUGACGAGUGGCGGACGGGUGAGUAAUGUCUGGGAAACUGCCUGAUGGAGGGGGAUAACUACUGGAAACGGUAGCUAAUACCGCAUAACGUCGCAAGACCAAAGAGGGGGACCUUAGGGCCUCUUGCCAUCGGAUGUGCCCAGAUGGGAUUAGCUAGUAGGUGGGGUAACGGCUCACCUAGGCGACGAUCCCUAGCUGGUCUGAGAGGAUGACCAGCCACACUGGAACUGAGACACGGUCCAGACUCCUACGAGAGGCAGCAGUGGGGAAUAUUGCACAAUGGGCGCAAGCCUGAUGCAGCCAUGCCGCGUGUAUGAAGAAGGCCUUCGGGUUGUAAAGUACUUUCAGCGGGGAGGAAGGGAGUAAAGUUAAUACCUUUGCUCAUUGACGUUACCCGCAGAAGAAGCACCGGCUAACUCCGUG
RNAcentral lists this ribosomal RNA (490 nucleotides) under uncultured bacterium. RNAcentral describes it as "partial 16S ribosomal RNA". It matches the Rfam family "Bacterial small subunit ribosomal RNA", at positions 30 to 507 of the family's 1533-position model. The record is from RNAcentral.